Molecule: long non-coding RNA, 292 nt
Filed under: Capsella rubella
Lineage: Eukaryota; Viridiplantae; Streptophyta; Magnoliopsida; Brassicales; Brassicaceae
Description: long non-coding RNA (CRUB_LNC002769)
Source: RNAcentral
CUUAAUCUCCCCUCUUUCACAAAAAUAAAAUAAUAAUAAUAUUAAUAAGAAAUUCAAUCUACUGGUUAUUUUUAGAAUUCAACCCAUAAAUAUUUUUUUAAAUAACCAAUAGAAAAAGAAAAAAAGACUCGAGAAUACAAAUAGUCAUAACAUACUAAAUAAACAUAAAUAACGCAUAAAAAUCUGGAAAAUCUUAUAAUAUAGAACAAAAGAAAAAAACUUAAAAAAUUAAAUAAAAUGGAACGGAUGGAGUAUAUAUCUACUUCUAAAAUUAUUAUCCUAUAUAUUUUUC